UCUAACAUAUUUGGCAGCAGCGCCACUAAAACUCCACGUCCCGUCAUGCUUUGCGCGCACACGUCGUGCUGAGGGGGCAGCGUGUGCUGCGCUGCGGCGCUCCGGCGAUGGCUCAGUGCGGCUCAGGCUCUUCACGGGAGCGCAACGUGUCGCCGGAGCUGCGGCGGAAGACAGACCAUCACCCCGCUGGACCGCAAGGAGGAACCGGCUACUUGCGCUGCUGACUGCGGGGGAUAAUCACUCCGAUCGAUCUGCUUGAUUUGCCUCAAAAAGCAGCAGUCGACGUUGCUCACGGAUUCUUUGGAAGCAUUAAACGGAUUAAAAUCCGGCAUCGACUCACGUGGAGGAGUUAUUAGUAUUAUUAACGCUUAUUGGUAAGGCUUUUGUGAUGACAACAGCUGAUGGAUUCAACACUCCAGCUGUGCGUGGUCCUGCGGGACACGAGGACACACGGGCUCCCUCACGGUAUGGAUGCUGUCCGGUUCUUCUGCGGGACGAGCGGCGUGUCGGACAGGCGAGUCUCGUGGGAUACUUGACGCGCGUGGCCCCGUGUCACGGAUGGUCAGCGCCGCGAUGUGGUUUUGGGAAAAAUCGAUAUUCGUCGCGCUGGAUUUUUGGAAAGGAAUAUCCUGGAAUAUAACUCGAGAGUGCUCCGCAGAGGAGCCAGCUGUUUGGAUACUGACCCGAACGCGUGUCCUCAUCCAGCAGUGAAGGAAUCCAAACUCUUGGAAUGAGAUGUCAACCUUUUUUUAAUUGCUUCCCAGGGAAUUUCUGAUGAUCUCAGGUGAGCACAGAGAAGAGGCUCAGCAAUGGAAACAUGAUCGUAAGAGAUGCAUCAGGAUCGCACUAAAUCCCCGGUCCUGACCGUGGACCAGCAUCCCCUGCAGCAGAUGUUGGCUCCUGGCGUGUCUGCUCCAUCACUGACAAUCCGGCUCUCCUUGGAGAAGCUGUGACAUAAACUCAGCAGGACAGCGGAGUGUAUUCGGCUGCUCGGAUAUUAUGGAACAGAUCAGUGGACCCCGUCUGGAAAGGCACUCGAUAGGAAAGUCAACUCCUAUGGAGUUCCCAAUCACCGUGGUUACCUCAAUGGAUCUACACAUCGUGUGACUCUUUUUCUAAAUUGAACCUGGAUUAAUAUUUCCCUGUAUGUACAUCUGCUUUUGAUAAUCAGUGUUUAUUCAUGCAGUGGCUCAUUUGCUGCAGAUGUGACAUAUACUGUGUUAUUCUGGAUACAGUAUCAACAAAUGCUGGAACGGUAAAUGGAAAAUAAUCAGAUGUUGUUUUCAUUUUUGAGGUCCGACGGACUGAAAGCGGCACUCGCACCAAUGCAGUCACGUACAAAAGUGCACUUUCUCGCGAGCGGCACGAUAAAUGUUUCCCGUUGUGUAAAAAUGUAAUUAAUACGCAUUUCUCAGAAAGGAUUACUCAGUCAAUGGACAUCUGACAGCUUCCAACUGCGAUCACAAAGAAGCCAUUGUAAUCCAGGUGCUUACGAAUACGACUAUUGACACCACAUCUGUAGUUUUGGUUAAUAAUCUUGUCAUGCUGUUUGUUCUGAUCAUGAUUUACAGCGUAAUCAUUUUUGGUUGUGUGUAUGUGAAGAAGAAAUAAAAACAAAAGGUGUGUCCAA
Long non-coding RNA from Cyclopterus lumpus (lumpfish), 1630 nucleotides. RefSeq lists it as uncharacterized. The record is from RefSeq and is a predicted model, not a curated record. The transcript has 4 exons. Lineage: Eukaryota; Metazoa; Chordata; Actinopteri; Perciformes; Cyclopteridae.